This 253-nucleotide ribosomal RNA is filed under the name uncultured bacterium. Its description in RNAcentral is "partial 16S ribosomal RNA". It matches the Rfam family "Bacterial small subunit ribosomal RNA", at positions 524 to 776 of the family's 1533-position model. The record is from RNAcentral.
UACGAAGGGUGCAAGCGUUAAUCGGAAUUACUGGGCGUAAAGCGCGCGUAGGUGGUUCAGUAAGUUGGAAGUGAAAUCCCCGGGCUCAACCUGGGAACUGCUUUCAAAACUGCUGAGCUAGAGUACGGUAGAGGGUGGUGGAAUUUCCUGUGUAGCGGUGAAAUGCGUAGAUAUAGGAAGGAACACCAGUGGCGAAGGCGACCACCUGGACUGAUACUGACACUGAGGUGUGAAAGCGUGGGGAGCAAACAGG